UACGGGGGGAGCAAACGUUGUUCGGAAUCACUGGGCGUAAAGCGCACGUAGGCGGACUCUUAAGUCGGUGGUGAAAUCCUGGAGCUCAACUCCAGAACUGCCUUCGAUACUGGGAGUCUCGAGUCCGGGAGAGGUGAGUGGAACUGCGAGUGUAGAGGUGAAAUUCGUAGAUAUUCGCAAGAACACCAGUGGCGAAGGCGGCUCACUGGCCCGGUACUGACGCUGAGGUGCGAAAGCGUGGGGAGCAAACAGG
This 253-nucleotide ribosomal RNA is filed under the name uncultured bacterium. RNAcentral describes it as "partial 16S ribosomal RNA". It matches the Rfam family "Bacterial small subunit ribosomal RNA", at positions 524 to 776 of the family's 1533-position model. The record is from RNAcentral.